GUGCCAGCAGCCGCGGUAAUACGGAGGGUGCAAGCGUUGUCCGGAUUUAUUGGGUUUAAAGGGUGCGUAGGCGGCUGUUUAAGUCAGUGGUGAAAGACUCCGGCUCAACCGGAGCAGUGCCAUUGAUACUGGAUAGCUUGAGUAUUGGAGGGGUACAUGGAAUUGAUGGUGUAGCGGUGAAAUGCAUAGAUACCAUCAGGAACACCGAUAGCGAAGGCAUUGUACUGGCCCAAUAAACUGACGCUGAUGCACGAAAGCAUGGGUAGCGAACAGGAUUAGAUACCCUGGUAGUCCAUGCCGUAAACGAUGAUUACUCGCUGUUAUGCCCUUGUGGUGUAGCGGCCAAGCGAAAGCGUUAAGUAAUCCACCUGGGGAGUACGCUCGCAAGAGUGAAACUCAAGGAAAUUGACGG
RNAcentral lists this ribosomal RNA (412 nucleotides) under Algoriphagus sp. RNAcentral's name for it is "bacterial SSU rRNA". It matches the Rfam family "Bacterial small subunit ribosomal RNA", at positions 505 to 916 of the family's 1533-position model. The record is from RNAcentral. Lineage: Bacteria; Pseudomonadati; Bacteroidota; Cytophagia; Cytophagales; Cyclobacteriaceae.